UACGUAGGGGGCUAGCGUUAUCCGGAUUUAUUGGGUUUAAAGGGUGCGCAGGUGGUUUAGUAAGUCAGUGGUGAAAGUCUGCCGCUUAACGGUAGGAUUGCCAUUGAUACUGUUGGACUUGAAUAUGGAUGAGGUAGGCGGAAUGUGUAGUGUAGCGGUGAAAUGCUUAGAUAUUACACAGAACACCGAUUGCGAAGGCAGCUUACUAAUCCAUCAUUGACGCUGAGGCACGAAAGCGUGGGGAUCAAACAGGAUUAGAUA
Molecule: ribosomal RNA, 261 nt
Filed under: uncultured prokaryote
Description: partial 16S ribosomal RNA
Rfam family: Bacterial small subunit ribosomal RNA
Source: RNAcentral